This 358-nucleotide unclassified non-coding RNA is filed under the name soil metagenome. RNAcentral describes it as "partial contains 5.8S ribosomal RNA, internal transcribed spacer 2, and large subunit ribosomal RNA". The stretch from base 1 to 120 matches the Rfam family "5.8S ribosomal RNA", at positions 35 to 154 of the family's 154-position model. The record is from RNAcentral.
GAUGAAGAACGUAGCGAAAUGCGAUAAGUAAUGUGAAUUGCAGAAUUCAGUGAAUCAUCGAACCUUUGAACGCACAUUGCGCCCGUCAGUAUUCUGGCGGGCAUGCCUGUUCGAGCGUCAUUACGCCCCUCAAGUCCCCUGUGGACUUGGUGUUGGGGAUCGGCGAGGCUGGUUUUCCAGCACAGCCGUCCCUUAAAUUAAUUGGCGGUCUCGCCGUGGCCCUCCUCUGCGCAGUAGUAAAACACUCGCAACAGGAGCCCGGCGCGGUCCACUGCCGUAAAACCCCCCAACUUUUUAUAGUUGACCUCGAAUCAGGUAGGACUACCCGCUGAACUUAAGCAUAUCAAUAAGCGGAGGA